AGAAACUGGUCUGUUCCUACUCGAAGC
This 27-nucleotide non-coding RNA is filed under the name uncultured Amoebophrya. Lineage: Eukaryota; Dinophyceae; Syndiniales. The record is from RNAcentral.